RNAcentral lists this ribosomal RNA (279 nucleotides) under uncultured bacterium. RNAcentral's name for it is "partial 16S ribosomal RNA". It matches the Rfam family "Bacterial small subunit ribosomal RNA", at positions 506 to 784 of the family's 1533-position model. The record is from RNAcentral.
UGCCAGCCGCCGCGGUAAUACGGAGGGUGCAAGCGUUGCUCGGAAUCACUGGGCGUAAAGCGUACGCAGGCGGCACGUCAAGUCGGGUGUGAAAGCCCGGGGCUCAACCCCGGAACUGCAUUCGAAACUGGCGCGCUUGAAUACGGGAGAGGGAAGCGGAAUUCCUGGUGUAGAGGUGAAAUUCGUAGAUAUCAGGAGGAACACCUGUGGCGAAAGCGGCUUCCUGGCCCGAUAUUGACGCUCAUGUACGAAAGCGUGGGGAGCAAACAGGAUUAGAUA